AACGUAGGACACAAGCGUUAUCCGGAGUUACUGGGCGUAAAGGGCGUGUAGGCGGAUCGGUAAGUCUACUCUGAAAGCUCCUGGCUAGACUGGGAGAGGCGAGUGGAGACUGUCGGUCUAGAGUGAGGAAGAGGAAAGUGGAAUUCCGCGUGUAGUGGUGAAAUGCGUAGAGAUGCGGAGGAACACCAGUGGCGAAAGCGGCUUUCUGGUCCUUAACUGACGCUGAGGCGCGAAAGCAUGGGGAGCGAACGGG
RNAcentral lists this ribosomal RNA (253 nucleotides) under uncultured bacterium. RNAcentral describes it as "partial 16S ribosomal RNA". It matches the Rfam family "Bacterial small subunit ribosomal RNA", at positions 524 to 776 of the family's 1533-position model. The record is from RNAcentral.